UUUCCGCAGGUGAACCUGCGGAAGGAUCAUUCAUAAUAGAGUGUUUUAUGGCACUUUUUAAAAAUCCAUAUCCACCUUGUGUGCAAUGUUAGAUCUCGUCAAUCUUGGCGAGAUUUUUAUACAUCAACUCAUUCUUUAACUAAUUGUCUGAAAAAUAUUAUGAAUACUUAAUUCAAAAUACAACUUUCAACAACGGAUCUCUUGGCUCUC
This 210-nucleotide unclassified non-coding RNA is filed under the name plant metagenome. RNAcentral's name for it is "partial contains small subunit ribosomal RNA, internal transcribed spacer 1, and 5.8S ribosomal RNA". The record is from RNAcentral.